UACGAAGGGGGCUAGCGUUGCUCGGAAUCACUGGGCGUAAAGCGCACGUAGGCGGAUUGUUAAGUCAGGGGUGAAAUCUUGGAGCUCAACUCCAGAACUGCCUUUGAUACUGGCGAUCUCGAGUCCGGGAGAGGUGAGUGGAACUGCGAGUGUAGAGGUGAAAUUCGUAGAUAUUCGCAAGAACACCAGUGGCGAAGGCGGCUCACUGGCCCGGUACUGACGCUGAGGUGCGAAAGCGUGGGGAGCAAACAGG
This 253-nucleotide ribosomal RNA is filed under the name uncultured bacterium. RNAcentral describes it as "partial 16S ribosomal RNA". It matches the Rfam family "Bacterial small subunit ribosomal RNA", at positions 524 to 776 of the family's 1533-position model. The record is from RNAcentral.